Non-coding RNA from Paramuricea clavata, 1166 nucleotides. The record is from the annotation of a GenBank genome assembly. Lineage: Eukaryota; Metazoa; Cnidaria; Anthozoa; Malacalcyonacea; Plexauridae.
GACGUCACAACUCAAAAUAUAGAAAGCGUGAUAACUUGAGAACGAGAUGAGAUAUGACGAAACUGUAAACGUCAUUCUUCAUCACUCCAGCAGUACUUUUUAGAAAAACAAUAAAAAAUGAGGUGAAAAAUUCGUUGCAUAGGCACUUUAAUAUUUUCAUCUUUUUUAAGAACUGCAAUUACAUGCUGAUCUCGGUUAAGGUCCUGUCACACUAUUGCGUAUAUAUGAGAUCAACGUAUGAGUAGCGUAAACCAUCCAUGCAUACGUCCGCAUACUCGAAAUUUUUUUAACCAUGCUUAUACCUAACGUACCCCUAACGUAUGUAGGCGUAUGAUUGAAAUUUUCCAUACACUCAGGGCCAUUACGGAAAAUUUUGCACCAAUAAACAGGUGGAAGCACGGUUCGAGGGAUGGUUCCCCGAUUUUUAAAUAGACACCUUACGAUUUAGGACGGCAACGGCUACCAAUACAAUAAAUAAUUUAAAAAAUUGAAUAAUUACGAUAUGUGAAUAAUUUAGACAUUGUCCUCGCUUUGUUUACAACGCCAAAUCACAGAUUUUCACGUCUUGAUACAACGGCUGCAUGCAUUUCAAACCGCAACAAGUGCAACUUCAAACAUAAAACCCAUGUCUUCAACUUCUAAGACUGUAUUAAAUUCAUACGAUUGCUAAUAUACCACGAACUGUCUUUACUACCAUUUAUUUGAAGGAGUUUGUUUUGGCCGUCGUCGUCGCGUUGCCGUCCUAAAAUCGUAAGGUCUCUAUUCUCUAAUAACCCCUCUGUGCGAUCCUUGCCGUUAGAUGCCUCUAUAUAUACGCCCUUUACUGCUCCGCCCUUUCAGUCAGAUUAUGACAGUCUUGGUUCAUUUAUUUGUUUGAGAAUAUUAAGUUUCACUUUGACUUAAUAUAUGCACUUACUACAUGUUUCGUCGGUUUUAAUAUAGCCUAAUAGCUCAAAGCGACAAGAAAGAAAUUCGUUUUUUACAUCAAAACGUUUUUGUAUACCCAGCCAUGUAUUAAAGUUGAUUGUUUAUAGAUUCUAAUUUCGUACCUUGUCUCUCUAUGCACAUGAGAGCAAUAUAAAUGUAUAGUAGUACACUCAUAGGCGUACGGGAUUCAUAUCUAUUGGAGGAGCUGUGGUCUAUAUUGCCCGAAAAUAUUUGGGCCC